GAUGAACGCUGGCGGCGUGCCUAAUACAUGCAGGUCGAGCGAACGGACGAGAAGCUUGCUUCUCUGAUGUUAGCGGCGGACGGGUGAGUAACACGUGGAUAACCUACCUAUAAGACUGGGAUAACUUCGGGAAACCGGAGCUAAUACCGGAUAAUAUUUUGAACCGCAUGGUUCAAAAGUGAAAGACGGUCUUGCUGUCACUUAUAGAUGGAUCCGCGCUGCAUUAGCUAGUUGGUAAGGUAACGGCUUACCAAGGCAACGAUGCAUAGCCGACCUGAGAGGGUGAUCGGCCACACUGGAACUGAGACACGGUCCAGACUCCUACGGGAGGCAGCAGUAGGGAAUCUUCCGCAAUGGGCGAAAGCCUGACGGAGCAACGCCGCGUGAGUGACGAAGGUCUUCGGAUCGUAAAACUCUGUUAUUAGGGAAGAACAUAUGUGUAAGUAACUGUGCACAUCUUGACGGUACCUAAUCAGAAAGCCACGGCUAACUACGUG
This 497-nucleotide ribosomal RNA is filed under the name uncultured bacterium. Its description in RNAcentral is "partial 16S ribosomal RNA". It matches the Rfam family "Bacterial small subunit ribosomal RNA", at positions 28 to 507 of the family's 1533-position model. The record is from RNAcentral.